CGAGCGAUGAGUUCCUUCGGGAACGGAUUAGCGGCGAACGGGUGAGGAACACGUGAGGAAUCUGCCUUCUACUCUGGGAUAACUCCGGGAAACCGGGGCUAAUACCGGAUAUGAAACCUGAUGGCAUCAUCGGGUUUGGAAAGUUUUUCGGUAGAAGAUGACCUCGCGGCCUAUCAGCUUGUUGGUGAGGUAAUGGCUCACCAAGGCGACGACGGGUAGCCGGCCUGAGAGGGCGACCGGCCACACUGGGACUGAGACACGGCCCAGACUCCUACGGGAGGCAGCAGUGGGGAAUAUUGGGCAAUGGAGGAAACUCUGACCCAGCGACGCCGCGUGCGGGAUGAAGGCCUUCGGGUUGUAAACCGCUUUCAGCAGGGAAGAAGCGAAAGUGACGGUACCUGCAGAAGAAGCACCGGCUAACUAUGUGCCAGCAGCCGCGGUAAUACAUAGGGUGCAAGCGUUGUCCGGAAUUAUUGGGCGUAAAGAGCUCGUAGGUGGUUCGUUACGUCGGAUGUGAAAAUCUGGGGCUCAACCCCAGACCUGCAUUCGAUACGGGCGAACUAGAGUGUGGUAGGGGAGACUGGAAUUCCUGGUGUAGCGGUGGAAUGCGCAGAUAUCAGGAGGAACACCAAUGGCGAAGGCAGGUCUCUGGGCCAUUACUGACAC
RNAcentral lists this ribosomal RNA (666 nucleotides) under uncultured bacterium. RNAcentral's name for it is "bacterial SSU rRNA". It matches the Rfam family "Bacterial small subunit ribosomal RNA", at positions 63 to 746 of the family's 1533-position model. The record is from RNAcentral.